This 445-nucleotide ribosomal RNA is filed under the name uncultured bacterium. Its description in RNAcentral is "SSU rRNA". It matches the Rfam family "Bacterial small subunit ribosomal RNA", at positions 26 to 518 of the family's 1533-position model. The record is from RNAcentral.
AGAGCGAACGCUGGCGGCAGGCCUAACACAUGCAAGUCGAACGGACCCUUCGGGGUUAGUGGCGGACGGGUGAGUAACACGUGGGAACGUGCCUUUAGGUUCGGAAUAGCUCCUGGAAACGGGUGGUAAUGCCGAAUGUGCCCUUCGGGGGAAAGAUUUAUCGCCUUUAGAGCGGCCCGCGUCUGAUUAGCUAGUUGGUGAGGUAAAGGCUCACCAAGGCUACGAUCAGUAGCUGGUCUGAGAGGAUGACCAGCCACAUUGGGACUGAGACACGGCCCAAACUCCUACGGGAGGCAGCAGUGGGGAAUCUUGCGCAAUGGGCGAAAGCCUGACGCAGCCAUGCCGCGUGAAUGAUGAAGGUCUUAGGAUUGUAAAAUUCUUUCAGUAGGGACGAUAAUGACGGUACUACAGAAGAAGCCCCGGCUAACUUCGCGCCAGCAGCCGC